CUCAGUUCGGAUUGCAGGCUGCAACUCGCCUGUAUGAAGUCGGAAUUGCUAGUAAUCGUGGAUCAGCAUGCCACGGUGAAUACGUUCCCGGGCCUUGUACACACCGCCCGUCACACCAUGAGAGCCGGGAACACCCGAAGUCCGUAGUCUAACCUAUAUGGAGGACGCGGCCGAAGGUGGGUUUGGUAAUUGGGGUGAAGUCGUAACAAGGUACC
RNAcentral lists this ribosomal RNA (215 nucleotides) under uncultured bacterium. RNAcentral describes it as "partial 16S ribosomal RNA". It matches the Rfam family "Bacterial small subunit ribosomal RNA", at positions 1287 to 1500 of the family's 1533-position model. The record is from RNAcentral.